AAAUUGAAGAGUUUGAUCAUGGCUCAGAUUGAACGCUGGCGGCAGGCCUAACACAUGCAAGUCGAACGGUAACAGGAAGCAGCUUGCUGCUUUGCUGACGAGUGGCGGACGGGUGAGUAAUGUCUGGGAAACUGCCUGAUGGAGGGGGAUAACUACUGGAAACGGUGGCUAAUACCGCAUAACGUCGCAAGACCAAAGAGGGGGACCUUCGGGCCUCUUGC
RNAcentral lists this ribosomal RNA (221 nucleotides) under Salmonella enterica. Its description in RNAcentral is "partial 16S ribosomal RNA". It matches the Rfam family "Bacterial small subunit ribosomal RNA", at positions 1 to 218 of the family's 1533-position model. RNAcentral also lists the same sequence under 8 other names. Lineage: Bacteria; Pseudomonadati; Pseudomonadota; Gammaproteobacteria; Enterobacterales; Enterobacteriaceae. The record is from RNAcentral.